GACGAACGCUGGCGGCGUGCCUAAUACAUGCAAGUCGAACGCAGUGGGGACGGGUGAGUAACACGUGGGUAACCUCCCAUCAGAGGGGAUAACACUUGGAAACAGGGGCUAAACCGAUACUGAUGGAUGGACACGCGGUGCAUUAGCUAGUUGGUGAGGUAACGGCUCACCAAGGCCACGAUGCAUAGCCGCCCUGCGAGGGUGAUCUGCCACACUGGGACUGAGCCACGGCCCAGACUCCUACGGGAUGCAGCAGUAGGGAAUCUUCGGCAAUGGACGAAAGUCUGACCGAGCAACGCCGCGUGAGUGAUGAAGGUCUUCGGAUCUUAAAACUCUGUUAUUAGGGAAGCGUUACCUAAUCAGCAAGCCACGGCUAACUACGUGCCAGCCGCCGCGGUAAUUC
This 403-nucleotide ribosomal RNA is filed under the name uncultured bacterium. RNAcentral's name for it is "partial 16S ribosomal RNA". It matches the Rfam family "Bacterial small subunit ribosomal RNA", at positions 28 to 526 of the family's 1533-position model. The record is from RNAcentral.